GAAGCUUAAUUUGAAAUUAAACCUUAAUAUAUUUUGUGUAGUUGUAAUGGCUUUAAAAACCUCAAGUCAAAACCAUCGUUAUAUUCAUAAACCGGUGCCUGGAUCUAUAAAGAUAUCAAAUGAAAACCCAUUUCUUCGACAAUAUCUGAGUAAUCCAAAACCUGAAUAUAAGCCGCAUAAGUACAACGGAAACCCAUUUCUUCCACAUGUUCGUAAUGUGGGGCCUGAAUCUGAUCUGGAAAAAUACGAGUAUGUUCCUUGCUGUACUUUGCAUUCUUUAGCACCUUUUUCUAAUGGAUGUCAUUACAAAAAUUAUCGUGGCCUAAGUCUUGCAAGAAACUACAACAGAAAAACGCCAAAGAGUAAACAAAAGGCAACAACGAGAAAGGGAAUUAAAUCUUCGUUGGACCGUUCUUUAUUUCGAUAUGAAAUAAAAGUACAUUAAAUAUAGCUAUAUUUCUUCGUC
Molecule: small RNA, 466 nt
Filed under: Drosophila ananassae
Lineage: Eukaryota; Metazoa; Arthropoda; Insecta; Diptera; Drosophilidae
Description: GF27397
Source: RNAcentral